Molecule: ribosomal RNA, 249 nt
Filed under: uncultured prokaryote
Description: partial 16S ribosomal RNA
Rfam family: Bacterial small subunit ribosomal RNA
Source: RNAcentral
UACGGAGGAUGCAAGCGUUAUCUGGAUUUAUUUGGUUUAAAGGGUGCGCAGGUUGUUUGAUAAGUCAGUGGUGAAAGUCUGUCGCUUAACGGUAGGAUUGCCAUUGAUACUGUUGGACUUGAAUAUGGAUGAGGUAGGCGGAAUGUGUAGUGUAGCGGUGAAAUGCAUAGAUAUUACACAGAACACCGAUUGCGAAGGCAGCUUACUAAUCCAUCAUUGACGCUGAGGCACGAAAGCGUGGGGAUCAAA